UAUAGAAAAAAGCAUGUAACAUAUUGCUUAAUAGAUUUUACUACUUCUUAUCUCUUCCUUUUUCUCUAGCCUUUAAUCCUUGGCUUUUAAGGCACAACACUGCUGAGUCUCCUCCUACCCACUGACUACUUAUUCCUCUGUCUGCUUUGUAAUACUAUCCUUCUCUUCCAAUCCUUUCUUAGUGCUCCUUCCUUCUUAUCUUUAUAUGAUUUCUGGGUCAAUUCAUCUAUUUCAUGGUUUCCUUUACCACAUAUAUCUUCAUUACUCAUAUAUUCAUAUCGCUAGGCUAGAUCAGUCUGUUAAGGUCCAUCUCAACUGGAAAAUUCCACAGACACGUAGAGCUCAGCAUCAAAUCUACCCUCUCCACAUAUAAGACCCACUUUUGUAUUCCUUUAUCUAGUUAAUAGUACCACUAUCAACCCAAUCACACAAGCUAGGAAACUGAGAGUGAUCCUACAUUCCAUCUCCAGGUCACUAACUCUCAUCAAUUCUACCUUCUAAGUAAUUCUCAAUUCAUUCCUCACUCUGCAGCACUUUAGCUCUCACUUGUAUCUUAACUGAUCUUUCCUCCAUCCUCAUACUUCUAUAAUUGUUCUCAAUAUUAUGACCAGAAAUUUGUUUUAAAAUGCAAAUCCUAUUGUGCUACCCUCUUACAUGUAGGGUUAGUUCCAAACUUCUUUGCGUGAUAUACAAGACCUUCAGUACCCUUUCCUUCACUUACUUUGAGUCUCAUCUCCUUCAGCCUUACACCCCUACUCUCACACAGUCACGCCAAACUACUGAUAUUCAUGGAGGCCAAAUCCUUCUCUCUAUAAUUCUUUUUUGCAUUUGCCAUUCAUGUGCAUGAGAAAACAUCUACUUAUCCUUUGAGACCAUGCAUAAUGCCAACCCUCUCUGAAGUCUUUCUCAAAAACCCAGGUAACAUUGAUCACUCCUUCCCUUUGCUAUCAGCCCAACAUAAACUUUUCUCUAUCACUGCCAUGAUAACCGUUUGGGGGAAUAGCAAAAUUCUCGUAAUGAACUAAAAAUCUCUCAAGAUGACUGCUUUGAGUGGUGACGAGCAUUUUAGAUACACACGUUCUGAUAUGCUUGUUAAAAAAAAUCCAUUUCAUUACUUUAUAUUCACAGUGUAAACACAGAAAGUUUGUUAUGGGAUAUAAAUUUGGAAAAUUAAUGAUUGUAGCUCAGAGAUUAAUGUUAUUUGUGGGAAUAUGUUUUCUAUCAUUAAAUCAAGGAUCUGAAAUCUGCAGUGUCGCUGUGUUUAGACUGUAAACUUGAUAACGUAGUGGGUGGCUGCCCAUUCUCAAAAAGUAGCAUUCUCAGAAGAGUAUGAUAACGCCCUGCUAAUUCUAGUUUAUGACUUUUGAAUACGUUAUUUGGUAAAAUGAUUAAAGACUUGUUAAAUAUUUUCUACAAUUGCCUAGUCAGAAGAUCUGGGAGUUUUAUGUUUUAAAAGUCUGUCUCUUAAACAAAUUAUUUGCUAGAUUUCAGUGAAGCAAAUACACACACAAAAAACGCAACAUGUAUUUUACCUGUCAGAAAUGCAAAUCUCAUCAGCUCAGUUAGAACUAUAAAAUGCACUUUAUCCUUCUCAGGCAGAAACACAUAAGAAAAUGACUUGUAUAGCUGAAAAAUGAUGGGCACCUGGCUUUCAAUCUGGAUAUCUUUGAUAUUCAAUGACAUCUGAGUUGGCUCAUACACUUGGCUCAUAUGCUUGUCUCUAAGUGCAGAGAGUCCUGUCUUCCACUUGCCAUCAGAAGGGUUGUCUCUCUGCUGUUUAAGGAGGAGCUUGCAGUCAUCUGGCAGCAAGCUUUUGGUCUGGCGGAGACUACAUGCUUCUGUUGAGCACAAGACAACAGCUAAGAGCAUCUGGAAAAUACUUGCAAUGCUUGGGAAUGGAGAGUUUCUGCUAAUAGGAGAUGAAAUGAAGUGAUGUAUGCAUGAAUUUAAACUUUUGGAUCCAAAGACGAGACAAUCUUUUCCUUGCCAAUGUAGUUCUCACCUAUUUUGGCACUAAAACCUGGCCAUGGGAUCUCCCACCCUGACUGAAGUGUUGGGUAAUAAUUGGGUCGUUUCAGUUCAGUUGAGCAGAGAAUGCUCAGUUUAAUUACAGGUCAAACCAACAGUCAUGUAACUAUGAAGUCACGUCUGAAAUAUCGGCAUUCUUUAUUAAUAAAAAUGGUGCUUAUAGAGGGC
This 2196-nucleotide long non-coding RNA is filed under the name Equus caballus (horse). RNAcentral describes it as "lncRNA (ENSECAG00000048098.1)". Lineage: Eukaryota; Metazoa; Chordata; Mammalia; Perissodactyla; Equidae. The record is from RNAcentral.